RNAcentral lists this unclassified non-coding RNA (321 nucleotides) under Hevea brasiliensis (rubber tree). The record is from RNAcentral. Lineage: Eukaryota; Viridiplantae; Streptophyta; Magnoliopsida; Malpighiales; Euphorbiaceae.
CAAAAAGCCGUCUGUGCCCAGGUGAUCCCCCCAAGGCAAGCCUGUUAACUUGAGCUUGCCCAAAACUCGAGAUCUUCUUGGGUUAGGUUUGACUCGAGUCUCCUUCAGCUAUAAACUGUUGUCACAGCCCUUUCUUGGAGGCUCGCUGUCAUCUUCUUAGUGUUUUUUAGCUGAUGGCAUUACCCAUAAGCCAAUAUGGAGCUAUUUCAAAUCAAGUUAGAUUCCAACCCAUAACUUGACUCAAUCGAAAAUCCGUAAUUUUUGACUUUGGGACUUUUUCCAUGUCUUAUCGUUUGUCGUCGACAUCAAUGUCGAUAUCGG